Molecule: ribosomal RNA, 1210 nt
Filed under: metagenome
Description: bacterial SSU rRNA
Rfam family: Bacterial small subunit ribosomal RNA
Source: RNAcentral
CAGCCACGCUGGGACUGAGACACUGCCCAGACUCCUACGUGAGGCUGCAGUCGAGGAUCAUUCGCAAUGCGCGAAAGCGUGACGAUGCGACGCUGCGUGGAGGAUGACGGCCUUCGGGUUGUAAACUCCUGUCAUUCGGGAAAAACGACUACUGGGUUAAUACCCCAGGAGAGUGAUGGUACCGGAAGAGGAAGCCGCGGCUAACUCUGUGCCAGCAGCCGCGGUAAUACAGAGGUGGCAAGCGUUGUUCGGAUUUACUGGGCGUAAAGGGUGCGUAGGUGGCUCUGUGUGUCGGGUGUGAAAUCCCGCGGCUCAACCGCGGAACUGCAUUCGAAACUGCAGGGCUGGAGUGCAGGAGGGGAGAGCGGAAUUCUUGGUGUAGCGGUGAAAUGCGUUGAUAUCAAGAAGAACACCGGUGGCGAAGGCGGCUCUCUGGAAUGCUACUGACACUGAGGCACGAAAGCUGGGGGAGCGAACAGGAUUAGAUACCCUGGUAGUCCCAGCCGUAAACGGUGUGCACUUGGUGUGGGGAGAUUUGACCCUCCCCGUGCCGGAGCUAACGCGUUAAGUGCACCGCCUGGGGAGUACGGCCGCAAGGCUAAAACUCAAAGAAAUUGACGGGGGCCCGCACAAGCGGAGGAGCAUGUGGCUUAAUUCGAUGCAACGCGAAGAACCUUACCAGGGCUUGACAUCAUGCUGCAAGCCACCCGAAAGGGAGGCCGCCUUCGAGGGUGCAUGACAGGUGCUGCAUGGCUGUCGUCAGUUCGUGCCGUGAGGUGUUGGGUUAAGUCCCGCAACGAACGCAACCCCUGUGUUUAGUUGCCGCUCCGCGGCUUGCCGUGGAAGCACUCUAAACAGACUGCCUGUACAAGCAGGAGGAAGGUGGGGACGACGUCAAGUCAGUAUGGCCCUUACGCCCUGGGCUGCACACGUGCUACAAUGGCUGGUACAGAAGGACGCAAUACCGCGAGGUGGAGCAAAUCCUCAAAACCGGCCCCAGUUCGGAUUGGAGUCUGCAACUCGACUCCAUGAAGUUGGAUUCGCUAGUAACGGCGCAUCAGCUACGGCGCCGUGAAUACGUUCCCGGGCCUUGUACACACCGCCCGUCGCAUCAUGAAAGCCGUCUGCACCCGAAGUCGCUGAGCCAACCCGCAAGGGGGGCAGGUGCCGAAGGUGUGGGUGGUGAUUGGGAUGAAGUCGUAACAAGGUA